GGUUGUAAACCUCUUUCAGCAGGGAAGGAGCGAAAGCGACGGUACCUGCAGAAGAAGCACCGGCUAACUACGUGCCAGCAGCCGCGGUAAUACGUAGGGUGCGAGCGUUGUCCGGAAUUAUUGGGCGUAAAGAGCUUGUAGGCGGUUUGUCGCGUCUGCCGUGAAAAUCCGGGGCUCAACCCCGGACUUGCGGUGGGUACGGGCAGACUAGAGUGUGGUAGGGGAGACUGGAAUUCCUGGUGUAGCGGUGAAAUGCGCAGAUAUCAGGAGGAACACCGAUGGCGAAGGCAGGCCUCUGGGCCACUACUGACGCUGAGAAGCGAAAGCGUGGGGAGCGAACAGGAUUAGAUACCCUGGUAGUCC
Molecule: ribosomal RNA, 363 nt
Filed under: uncultured bacterium
Lineage: Bacteria
Description: bacterial SSU rRNA
Rfam family: Bacterial small subunit ribosomal RNA
Source: RNAcentral